Lutra lutra (Eurasian river otter) is the source of this 424-nucleotide long non-coding RNA. RefSeq lists it as uncharacterized. The record is from RefSeq and is a predicted model, not a curated record. NCBI's taxonomy places the organism in Eukaryota, Metazoa, Chordata, Mammalia, Carnivora, Mustelidae. The transcript has 3 exons.
GGAAACUCCUUCUGGCAAGUGAAAGAAGCUCAGUGUGACUGGGGUAUAGCCGACAAAGGAAAGAGUCCCACGGCAAGUGUUUGACAACCAGGAAUGAAAUUCAGGGCUGACUGCCAGUGGCCUGUAGGAGGAGAUGCACAGCUGUCCUACGGAUUGUUCUUCGGUUAAGCUCACUCAUCCAGCAGGACUCAAUCUCAGCCACAAGAAUGCAGCCCCCAGCCUUCAUUACCAGCUACCUGGGCUUUGCUGUGAUUAGCCAUCACUGGAGAAUGUGGUAAGUCUAUGGACUUUCUUCCUCUAAAAUGCCUUCAUCUGUAGUUGAGAGUGAGGGUUUUAUCUCUCUCUGGUUCCACUCUCAAGGACAAAUCUUGGAGGCUUCCCUUUCUUAUCAUCACUGAUUUUCAGGUAUUAAAAAAAAAAAAAA